Molecule: ribosomal RNA, 470 nt
Filed under: uncultured bacterium
Lineage: Bacteria
Description: bacterial SSU rRNA
Rfam family: Bacterial small subunit ribosomal RNA
Source: RNAcentral
AGAGUUUGAUCAUGGCUCAGAACGAACGCUGGCGGCAGGCUUAACACAUGCAAGUCGAACGCACCGCAAGGUGAGUGGCAGACGGGUGAGUAACGCGUGGGAACCUACCUAUCGGUUCGGAACAACUCGGGGAAACUCGAGCUAAUACCGGAUACGCCCUUCGGGGGAAAGAUUUAUUGCCGAUGGAUGGGCCCGCGUUGGAUUAGCUAGUUGGUGAGGUAACGGCUCACCAAGGCUACGAUCCAUAGCUGGUCUAAGAGGAUGAUCAGCCACACUGGGACUGAGACACGGCCCAGACUCCUACGGGAGGCAGCAGUGGGGAAUAUUGGACAAUGGGGGAAACCCUGAUCCAGCCAUGCCGCGUGAGUGAUGAAGGCCUUAGGGUUGUAAAGCUCUUUCGCCUGGGAAGAUAAUGACGGUACCAGGUAAAGAAGCCCCGGCUAACUUCGUGCCAGCAGCCGCGGUAAUAC